RNAcentral lists this ribosomal RNA (506 nucleotides) under uncultured Glomeraceae. RNAcentral describes it as "SSU rRNA". It matches the Rfam family "Eukaryotic small subunit ribosomal RNA", at positions 569 to 1078 of the family's 1831-position model. Lineage: Eukaryota; Fungi; Glomeromycota; Glomeromycetes; Glomerales; Glomeraceae. The record is from RNAcentral.
AGCAGCCGCGGUAAUUCCAGCUCCAAUAGCGUAUAUUAAAGUUGUUGCAGUUAAAAAGCUCGUAGUUGAAUUUCGGGAUCAAAGAAUCGGUCAUGCCUUGGUAUGUACUGGUUUUAUUGGCUCUCACCUUCUAAAGAACCAUAAUGUCAUUUAUUUGAUGUUAUGGGGAAUUAGGACUGUUACCUUGAAAAAAUUAGAGUGUUUAAAGCAAACUAACGCUUGAAUACAUUAGCAUGGAAUAAUGAAAUAGGACGUUCGAUCCUAUUUUGUUGGUUUCUAGGAUUGACGUAAUGAUUAAUAGGGAUAGUUGGGGGCAUUAGUAUUCAAUUGUCAGAGGUGAAAUUCUUGGAUUUAUUGAAGACUAACUACUGCGAAAGCAUUUGCCAAGGAUGUUUUCAUUAAUCAAGAACGAAAGUUAGGGGAUCGAAGACGAUCAGAUACCGUCGUAGUCUUAACCAUAAACUAUGCCGACUAGGAUCGGAUGAUGUUAAUUUUUUAAUGACUCA